RNAcentral lists this ribosomal RNA (497 nucleotides) under uncultured bacterium. Its description in RNAcentral is "partial 16S ribosomal RNA". It matches the Rfam family "Bacterial small subunit ribosomal RNA", at positions 28 to 507 of the family's 1533-position model. The record is from RNAcentral.
GAUGAACGCUGGCGGCGUGCCUAAUACAUGCAAGUCGAGCGAACGGACGAGAAGCUUGCUUCUCUGAUGUUAGCGGCGGACGGGUGAGUAACACGUGGAUAACCUACCUAUAAGACUGGGAUAACUUCGGGAAACCGGAGCUAAUACCGGAUAAUAUUUUGAACCGCAUGGUUCAAAAGUGAAAGGCGGUCUUGCUGUCACUUAUAGAUGGAUCCGCGCUGCAUUAGCUAGUUGGUAAGGUAACGGCUUACCAAGGCAACGAUGCAUAGCCGACCUGAGAGGGUGAUCGGCCACACUGGAACUGAGACACGGUCCAGACUCCUACGGGAGGCAGCAGUAGGGAAUCUUCCGCAAUGGGCGAAAGCCUGACGGAGCAACGCCGCGUGAGUGAUGAAGGUCUUCGGAUCGUAAAACUCUGUUAUUAGGGAAGAACAUAUGUGUAAGUAACUGUGCACAUCUUGACGGUACCUAAUCAGAAAGCCACGGAUAACUACGUG